Regulatory RNA element from Algibacter lectus, 39 nucleotides. It matches the Rfam family "DUF805b RNA". Rfam says of the family: Bacteroidetes, Chlorobi (1 example), Proteobacteria. Lineage (Flavobacteria) NCBI's taxonomy places the organism in Bacteria, Pseudomonadati, Bacteroidota, Flavobacteriia, Flavobacteriales, Flavobacteriaceae. The record is from Rfam.
AAAGCGGUAGCCGAAAAGCUUAUACAAAUAGAGUAGGUU